Molecule: long non-coding RNA, 834 nt
Organism: Ornithodoros turicata
Lineage: Eukaryota; Metazoa; Arthropoda; Arachnida; Ixodida; Argasidae
Exons: 5
Source: RefSeq, a predicted model, not a curated record
CACGAAGGAGUCAUCGCCAUUAGCAUCAUCGGAAUGUCGUUGCAACCGUUGCAAGACGUUUGAACGGUCUCCGCGCUCGCUCGUCCAUUUGUGAACAAAGGAGGCCGUGAUUUUGCGUCGUAUGGGCGGCUGCAGUGUUGCGUCCCGUCAGGCCAUGAAAGAAGGAAGGAGGAUAUGAUUUUGCGUCGUAAUGGGUUUUUGUUGUUUGUUCGGAGCAGCGGCUGCAGUGUUGCGUCCCGUCCGGCUCUACUUUGUUGAACACUAAGCUGGGUGAACCAACUUUGUUGUUGCUAUGACCGUAUUACUCAGUUUUACUCACUUGUGUUUGAACGUUACUAAUUUGCGAUUGCACGCCCUAUUUCAGACACAUAUCUCUCCAGCGCUUCAGAGACGUCGCUGGCGCCGAAAUUCUAGCUGUUUCACCGUGGGUCGCCAGAAGAACAGCAGAUCACUGACUGUCAAUUGUGCGACGCGACACUAUGUGGCACGAAGGAUGUGUACGUGUGAAAUACGUAACUACUGUGUGCGCGGGAUGUUUUGUAUGAUUGUGUCGACACUGGAUACCACUUUCAAGGUAUGCAUUUUCGGAAUAAAGUAGAUACAUAUAUAAUUUUGCAGUACUUCAUUUCGUGUAUUUUAUGCGUGUUGCGAGUAAGUGAACAUAUGCACUCUUAAAAAUGAACUUCACCGCAUAGCAUGCUCCUAGCCGACCAUCAACUCGAAUGAUAUCGCUAUGUGACCUGAUUUGUUCAAAACGGUAGGCGCACGGCUUUUUUGUGAUACUUACGCUGUUCAUAAUUGUCACAAAAAUGGCGUACACCUCCCGUUUUCAGG